This 513-nucleotide ribosomal RNA is filed under the name uncultured bacterium. RNAcentral describes it as "partial 16S ribosomal RNA". It matches the Rfam family "Bacterial small subunit ribosomal RNA", at positions 28 to 523 of the family's 1533-position model. The record is from RNAcentral.
GAUGAACGCUGGCGGCGUGCCUAAUACAUGCAAGUCGAACGCACAGCGAAAGGUGCUUGCACCUUUCAAGUGAGUGGCGAACGGGUGAGUAACACGUGGACAACCUGCCUCAAGGCUGGGGAUAACGUUUGGAAACAGAUGCUAAUACCGAAUAAAACUCAGUGUCGCAUGACACAAAGUUAAAAGGCGCUUUGGCGUCACCUAGAGAUGGAUCCGCGGUGCAUUAGUUAGUUGGUGGGGUAAAGGCCUACCAAGACAAUGAUGCAUAGCCGAGUUGAGAGACUGAUCGGCCACAUUGGGACUGAGACACGGCCCAAACUCCUACGGGAGGCUGCAGUAGGGAAUCUUCCACAAUGGGCGGAAGCCUGAUGGAGCAACGCCGCGUGUGUGAUGAAGGCUUUCGGGUCGUAAAGCACUGUUGUAUGGGAAGAACAGCUAGAAUAGGGAAUGAUUUUAGUUUGACGGUACCAUACCAGAAAGGGACGGCUAAAUACGUGCCAGCCGCCGCUGUAA